This 448-nucleotide ribosomal RNA is filed under the name uncultured bacterium. Its description in RNAcentral is "bacterial SSU rRNA". It matches the Rfam family "Bacterial small subunit ribosomal RNA", at positions 329 to 794 of the family's 1533-position model. The record is from RNAcentral.
UCCCAGACUCCUACGGGAGGCAGCAGUGGGGGAUAUUGCACAAUGGGGGGAACCCUGAUGCAGCAACGCCGCGUGAGUGAAGAAGUAUUUCGGUAUGUAAAGCUCUAUCAGCAGGGAAGAGAAUGACGGUACCUGACUAAGAAGCCCCGGCUAACUACGUGCCAGCAGCCGCGGUAAUACGUAGGGGGCGAGCGUUAUCCGGAUUUACUGGGUGUAAAGGGAGCGUAGACGGUUCUGCAAGUCUGAAGUGAAAGCCCGUGGCUUAACCGCGGAACGGCUUUGGAAACUGUGGAACUGGAGUGCUGGAGAGGCAAGCGGAAUUCCUAGUGUAGCGGUGAAAUGCGUAGAUAUUAGGAGGAACACCAGUGGCGAAGGCGGCUUACUGGACUGUAACUGACGUUGAGGCUCGAAAGCGUGGGGAGCAAACAGGAUUAGAUACCCCUGUACC